GACGAACGCUGGCGGCGUGCUUAACACAUGCAAGUCGAACGGAAAGGCCCUGCUUUUGUGGGGUGCUCGAGUGGCGAACGGGUGAGUAACACGUGAGUAACCUACCCUUGACUUUGGGAUAACUUCAGGAAACUGGGGCUAAUACCGGAUAGGAGCUCCUGCUGCAUGGUGGGGGUUGGAAAGUUUCGGCGGUUGGGGAUGGACUCGCGGCUUCUAAGCUUGUUGGUGGGGUAGUGGCUUACCAAGGCUUUGACGGGUAGCCGGCCUGAGAGGGUGACCGGCCACAUUGGGACUGAGAUACGGCCCAGACUCCUACGGGAGGCAGCAGUGGGGAAUAUUGCACAAUGGGCGGAAGCCUGAUGCAGCAACGCCGCGUGCGGGAUGACGGCCUUCGGGUUGUAAACCGCUUUCGCCUGUGACGAAGCGUGAGUGACGGUAAUGGGUAAAGAAGCACCGGCUAACUACGUG
This 468-nucleotide ribosomal RNA is filed under the name uncultured bacterium. RNAcentral's name for it is "partial 16S ribosomal RNA". It matches the Rfam family "Bacterial small subunit ribosomal RNA", at positions 28 to 507 of the family's 1533-position model. The record is from RNAcentral.